CGCGACCCCAGUUACAGAAUGGCAACCGAUGU
Molecule: ribosomal RNA, 32 nt
Filed under: Acacia rhodophloia
Lineage: Eukaryota; Viridiplantae; Streptophyta; Magnoliopsida; Fabales; Fabaceae
Description: partial large subunit ribosomal RNA
Source: RNAcentral